CGCUGCUGAUCCGGGAGCGGCGGGGGGAGCCGUGCCGGAGCAAGCUGCUGCGCAGGACCGUCAGCGUGCCCGUGGAGGGCCGCCCGCACCCCGAGCACGUGCCACCACUGCUGCCAUGCUCUGCCGCUGUCACCGCUGCCGCCACCAUCCGGUGCCACCAGUGCCACCAGUGCCAUUGUCACCGCUGUUCCCAGUGCCAUUGUCACCGCUGCCCGCCACCAUCCGGUGCCACCAGUGCCACCGGUGCCAUUGUCACCGCUGCCACCAUCCGCUGCCAUAAAUGUCACCUGUGCCACCAU
Non-coding RNA from Agelaius phoeniceus (red-winged blackbird), 299 nucleotides. The record is from RefSeq and is a predicted model, not a curated record. Lineage: Eukaryota; Metazoa; Chordata; Aves; Passeriformes; Icteridae.